CAUAGGUUAAUGAGGCGAACCGGGGGAACUGAAACAUCUAAGUACCCCGAGGAAAAGAAAUCAACCGAGAUUCCCCCAGUAGCGGCGAGCGAACGGGGAGCAGCCCAGAGCCUGAAUCAGUGUGUGUGUUAGUGGAAGCGUCUGGAAAGGCGCGCGAUACAGGGUGACAGCCCCGUACACAAAAAUGCACAUGCUGUGAGCUCGAUGAGUAGGGCGGGACACGUGGUAUCCUGUCUGAAUAUGGGGGGACCAUCCUCCAAGGCUAAAUACUCCUGACUGACCGAUAGUGAACCAGUACCGUGAGGGAAAGGCGAAAAGAACCCCGGCGAGGGGAGUGAAAAAGAACCUGAAACCGUGUACGUACAAGCAGUGGGAGCACGCUUCGGCGUGUGACUGCGUACCUUUUGUAUAAUGGGUCAGCGACUUAUAUUCUGUAGCAAGGUUAACCGAAUAGGGGAGCCGAAGGGAAACCGAGUCUUAACUGGGCGUUAAGUUGCAGGGUAUAGACCCGAAACCCGGUGAUCUAGCCAUGGGCAGGUUGAAGGUUGGGUAACACUAACUGGAGGACCGAACCGACUAAUGUUGAAAAAUUAGCGGAUGACUUGUGGCUGGGGGUGAAAGGCCAAUCAAACCGGGAGAUAGCUGGUUCUCCCCGAAAGCUAUUUAGGUAGCGCCUCGUGAAUUCAUCUCCGGGGGUAGAGCACUGUUUCGGCAAGGGGGUCAUCCCGACUUACCAACCCGAUGCAAACUGCGAAUACCGGAGAAUGUUAUCACGGGAGACACACGGCGGGUGCUAACGUCCGUCGUGAAGAGGGAAACAACCCAGACCGCCAGCUAAGGUCCCAAAGUCAUGGUUAAGUGGGAAACGAUGUGGGAAGGCCCAGACAGCCAGGAUGUUGGCUUAGAAGCAGCCAUCAUUUAAAGAAAGCGUAAUAGCUCACUGGUCGAGUCGGCCUGCGCGGAAGAUGUAACGGGGCUAAACCAUGCACCGAAGCUGCGGCAGCGACGCUGAUGCGUUGUUGGGUAGGGGAGCGUUCUGUAAGCCUGUGAAGGUGUGCUGUGAGGCAUGCUGGAGGUAUCAGAAGUGCGAAUGCUGACAUAAGUAACGAUAAAGCGGGUGAAAAGCCCGCUCGCCGGAAGACCAAGGGUUCCUGUCCAACGUUAAUCGGGGCAGGGUGAGUCGACCCCUAAGGCGAGGCCGAAAGGCGUAGUCGAUGGGAAACAGGUUAAUAUUCCUGUACUUGGUGUUACUGCGAAGGGGGGACGGAGAAGGCUAUGUUGGCCGGGCGACGGUUGUCCCGGUUUAAGCGUGUAGGCUGGUUUUCCAGGCAAAUCCGGAAAAUCAAGGCUGAGGCGUGAUGACGAGGCACUACGGUGCUGAAGCAACAAAUGCCCUGCUUCCAGGAAAAGCCUCUAAGCAUCAGGUAACAUCAAAUCGUACCCCAAACCGACACAGGUGGUCAGGUAGAGAAUACCAAGGCGCUUGAGAGAACUCGGGUGAAGGAACUAGGCAAAAUGGUGCCGUAACUUCGGGAGAAGGCACGCUGAUAUGUAGGUGAAGUCCCUCGCGGAUGGAGCUGAAAUCAGUCGAAGAUACCAGCUGGCUGCAACUGUUUAUUAAAAACACAGCACUGUGCAAACACGAAAGUGGACGUAUACGGUGUGACGCCUGCCCGGUGCCGGAAGGUUAAUUGAUGGGGUCAGCGCAAGCGAAGCUCUUGAUCGAAGCCCCGGUAAACGGCGGCCGUAACUAUAACGGUCCUAAGGUAGCGAAAUUCCUUGUCGGGUAAGUUCCGACCUGCACGAAUGGCGUAAUGAUGGCCAGGCUGUCUCCACCCGAGACUCAGUGAAAUUGAACUCGCUGUGAAGAUGCAGUGUACCCGCGGCAAGACGGAAAGACCCCGUGAACCUUUACUAUAGCUUGACACUGAACAUUGAGCCUUGAUGUGUAGGAUAGGUGGGAGGCUUUGAAGUGUGGACGCCAGUCUGCAUGGAGCCGACCUUGAAAUACCACCCUUUAAUGUUUGAUGUUCUAACGUUGACCCGUAAUCCGGGUUGCGGACAGUGUCUGGUGGGUAGUUUGACUGGGGCGGUCUCCUCCUAAAGAGUAACGGAGGAGCACGAAGGUUGGCUAAUCCUGGUCGGACAUCAGGAGGUUAGUGCAAUGGCAUAAGCCAGCUUGACUGCGAGCGUGACGGCGCGAGCAGGUGCGAAAGCAGGUCAUAGUGAUCCGGUGGUUCUGAAUGGAAGGGCCAUCGCUCAACGGAUAAAAGGUACUCCGGGGAUAACAGGCUGAUACCGCCCAAGAGUUCAUAUCGACGGCGGUGUUUGGCACCUCGAUGUCGGCUCAUCACAUCCUGGGGCUGAAGUAGGUCCCAAGGGUAUGGCUGUUCGCCAUUUAAAGUGGUACGCGAGCUGGGUUUAGAACGUCGUGAGACAGUUCGGUCCCUAUCUGCCGUGGGCGCUGGAGAACUGAGGGGGGCUGCUCCUAGUACGAGAGGACCGGAGUGGACGCAUCACUGGUGUUCGGGUUGUCAUGCCAAUGGCACUGCCCGGUAGCUAAAUGCGGAAGAGAUAAGUGCUGAAAGCAUCUAAGCACGAAACUUGCCCCGAGAUGAGUUCUCCCUGACCCUUUAAGGGUCCUGAAGGAACGUUGAAGACGACGACGUUGAUAGGCCGGGUGUGUAAGCGCAGCGAUGCGUUGAGCUAACCGGUACUAAUGAACCGUGAGGCUUAACCUU
This 2741-nucleotide ribosomal RNA is filed under the name Escherichia coli. RNAcentral's name for it is "partial 23S ribosomal RNA". It matches the Rfam family "Bacterial large subunit ribosomal RNA". Lineage: Bacteria; Pseudomonadati; Pseudomonadota; Gammaproteobacteria; Enterobacterales; Enterobacteriaceae. The record is from RNAcentral.